GAUGAACGCUGGCGGCGUGCCUAAUACAUGCAAGUCGAGCGAAAAGACGAGGAGCUUGCUCCUCUGACGUUAGCGGCGGACGGGUGAGUAACACGUGGAUCACCUACCUAUAAGACUGGGAUAACUUCGGGAAACCGGAGCUAAUACCGGAUAAUAUAUUGAACCGCAUGGUUCAAUAGUGAAAGACGGUUUUUCUGUCACUUAUAGAUGGAUCCGCGCGGCAUUAGCUAGUUGGUCGGGUAACGGCUUACCAAGGCUACGAUGCGUAUCCGACCGGAGGGGGGGGUAGCCGACAUUGGAAGUGGACCACGGACCAGGGUCCUACGAGAGGCAGCAGUCGGCAACGUUCGGCAGUGGGCGGGAACCUUGCGGAGCGGGCGGGCGUGUGUGGUGGCGGCGUUGCGAUCGGAAUGCUCUGUUAUGGGUGAUAAACAGAUUUGUAAUUAACUGAAGCGUUAGUGACGGUACUUGGUCAGAAAGCCACGGCUAACUACGUG
RNAcentral lists this ribosomal RNA (497 nucleotides) under uncultured bacterium. Its description in RNAcentral is "partial 16S ribosomal RNA". It matches the Rfam family "Bacterial small subunit ribosomal RNA", at positions 28 to 507 of the family's 1533-position model. The record is from RNAcentral.